Molecule: ribosomal RNA, 307 nt
Filed under: uncultured eukaryote
Lineage: Eukaryota
Description: partial 18S ribosomal RNA
Rfam family: Eukaryotic small subunit ribosomal RNA
Source: RNAcentral
CCCUUAGACGUUCUGGGCCGCACGCGCGCUACACUGACGAAGGCAACGAGCUUUCCUUUACCGAAAGGUACGGGUAAUCUUUUGAAACUUCGUCGUGCUGGGGAUAGAUCCUUGCAAUUUUUGAUCUUAAACGAGGAAUGCCUAGUAAGCGUAAGUCAUCAACUUGCGUUGAUUACGUCCCUGCCCUUUGUACACACCGCCCGUCGCUACUACCGAUUGAAUGGUUUAGUGAGGCCUUCGGAUCCGCGACUCGUUUGUGGAGAAGUUGGACAAACUCAGUCAUUUAGAGGAAGUAAAAGUCGUAACA